GACGAACGCUGGCGGCGUGCUUAACACAUGCAAGUCGAACGGAAAGGCCCUGCUUUUGUGGGGUGCUCGAGUGGCGAACGUGUGAGUAACACGUGAGUAACCUGCCCUUGACUUUGGGAUAACUUCAGGAAACUGGGGCUAAUACCGGAUAGGAUCUCCUGCUGCAUGGUGGGGGUUGGAAAGUUUCGGCGGUUGGGGAUGGACUCGCGGCUUAUCAGCUUGUUGGUGGGGUAGUGGCUUACCAAGGCUUUGACGGGUAGCCGGCCUGAGAGGGUGACCGGCGACAUUGGGACUGAGAUACGGCACAGACUCCUACGGGAGGCAGCAGUGGGGAAUAUUGCACAAUGGGCGGAAGCCUGAUGCAGAAACGCCGCGUGCGGGAUGACGGCCUUCGGGUUGUAAACCGCUUUCGCCUGUGACGAAGCGUGAGUGACGGUAAUGGGUAAAGAAGCACCGGCUAACUACGUG
RNAcentral lists this ribosomal RNA (468 nucleotides) under uncultured bacterium. RNAcentral describes it as "partial 16S ribosomal RNA". It matches the Rfam family "Bacterial small subunit ribosomal RNA", at positions 28 to 507 of the family's 1533-position model. The record is from RNAcentral.